AUUGAACGCUGGCGGCAUGCUUUACACAUGCAAGUCGAACGGUAACAGGCCGCAAGGUGCUGACGAGUGGCGAACGGGUGAGUAAUGCAUCGGAACGUGCCCAGUCGUGGGGGAUAACUACUCGAAAGAGUAGCUAAUACCGCAUACGAUCUAUGGAUGAAAGCGGGGGACCGUAAGGCCUCGCGCGAUUGGAGCGGCCGAUGUCAGAUUAGGUAGUUGGUGGGGUAAAGGCUCACCAAGCCAACGAUCUGUACCUGGUCUGAGAGGACGACCAGCCACACGGGGACUGAGACACGGCCCAGACUCCUACGGGAGGCAGCAGUGGGGAAUGUUGGACAAUGGGCGCAAGCCUGAUCCAGCAAUGCCGCGUGCAGGAAGAAGGCCUUCGGGUUGUAAACUGCUUUUGUACGGAACGAAACGGCUCUGGUUAAUACCCGGGGCUAAUGACGGUACCGUAAGAAUAAGCACCGGCUAACUACGUG
Molecule: ribosomal RNA, 482 nt
Filed under: uncultured bacterium
Lineage: Bacteria
Description: partial 16S ribosomal RNA
Rfam family: Bacterial small subunit ribosomal RNA
Source: RNAcentral